Long non-coding RNA from Salmo salar (Atlantic salmon), 607 nucleotides. RefSeq lists it as uncharacterized. The record is from RefSeq and is a predicted model, not a curated record. Lineage: Eukaryota; Metazoa; Chordata; Actinopteri; Salmoniformes; Salmonidae.
GCCUCAGCUGCUCUGAGAGCAUGGAUCAGCAGCUAUUGCCAAACACUUUCUUGGCUGCUAAUAGCACUUUUUCCUCUUCUUUGUGUGGCUGAUAGUAGCUAUUUAAAACAGCAACAGCGAAUCAGACGAGUCUUCCUUACUGCAAGAUGCCUUCUUCUGUUCAAAUCGUCUUCAAGAUAAUACAAUUGGUCCGCUGUCUGCUGGAAAGGUUAUGACUGUGGACGCAAAUUAUUUUCUCGAAAACCAGAACACGGGCCAAGGGUCACGGGAGGUCACUGCCUCUCUCUGUGUGCCAGUAACAGACACAGAUGGUUAACAACCGGGCACAGCUUCAAAGAGCCAAGCAGUUAGUGGCGAUGUCGCAACGGUGUCGGGGUGAGCCGUAAUGUAUUGUGCUGCAAACAAGAAGGAUUGCAGGAUCCCUGCCUCCCAGCCCGUGGGAGCCCGUGGUGACGCCGGAGCUCAGCUGCUCGAGAGAAUUGAGCAUCGCCUUUUCUGCAAAUGUUUCCAACUCACCAGAGAAACCCUGGAGGACACAACCCUCACUGGCCAUAAUAUCAGAUCCUCUCUGCUUCUCUCUGAAUUUGCUUGCUAAAAUACAAUUAUA